This 810-nucleotide ribosomal RNA is filed under the name Salmonella enterica. RNAcentral describes it as "partial 23S ribosomal RNA". It matches the Rfam family "Bacterial large subunit ribosomal RNA", at positions 1 to 844 of the family's 2925-position model. The record is from RNAcentral. Lineage: Bacteria; Pseudomonadati; Pseudomonadota; Gammaproteobacteria; Enterobacterales; Enterobacteriaceae.
GGGUUGUGAGGUUAAGCGACUAAGCGUACACGGUGGAUGCCCUGGCAGUCAGAGGCGAUGAAGGGCGUGCUAAUCUGCGAUAAGCGCCGGUAAGGUGAUAUGAACCGUUAUAACCGGCGAUACCCGAAUGGGGAAACCCAGUGUGAUUCGUCACACUAUCAUUAACUGAAUCCAUAGGUUAAUGAGGCGAACCGGGGGAACUGAAACAUCUAAGUACCCCGAGGAAAAGAAAUCAACCGAGAUUCCCCCAGUAGCGGCGAGCGAACGGGGAGGAGCCCAGAGCCUGAAUCAGCAUGUGUGUUAGUGGAAGCGUCUGGAAAGGCGCGCGAUACAGGGUGACAGCCCCGUACACAAAAGCGUAUGUGCUGUGAGCUCGAUGAGUAGGGCGGGACACGUGGUAUCCUGUCUGAAUAUGGGGGGACCAUCCUCCAAGGCUAAAUACUCCUGACUGACCGAUAGUGAACCAGUACCGUGAGGGAAAGGCGAAAAGAACCCCGGCGAGGGGAGUGAAAAAGAACCUGAAACCGUGUACGUACAAGCAGUGGGAGCACCCUUUGGGGUGUGACUGCGUACCUUUUGUAUAAUGGGUCAGCGACUUAUAUUCUGUAGCAAGGUUAACCGAAUAGGGGAGCCGGAGGGAAACCGAGUCUUAAUUGGGCGUUAAGUUGCAGGGUAUAGACCCGAAACCCGGUGAUCUAGCCAUGGGCAGGUUGAAGGUUGGGUAACACUAACUGGAGGACCGAACCGACUAAUGUUGAAAAAUUAGCGGAUGACCUGUGGCUGGGGGUGAAAGGCCAAUCAAACCGGGAG